Long non-coding RNA from Betta splendens (Siamese fighting fish), 2462 nucleotides. RefSeq lists it as uncharacterized. The transcript is spliced from 2 exons. Lineage: Eukaryota; Metazoa; Chordata; Actinopteri; Anabantiformes; Osphronemidae. The record is from RefSeq and is a predicted model, not a curated record.
UAUGGCGUGGCCGCAAUGUUGAAACAGUGGCUGAGCUUCCAGCAGCGCUGUCCCCCAGCAUGACGUGUUGUAGAUCUGGACUGCUCCAUCGAAACCUGAGCGAGAAGAGAAAUUAACCUCUUGAAAUAUGACCUAAAAAGUCAGAAACGGUGGCGUGACCAGACGAGGACAGUCUGAUGACCCUGCAGCAACACGGUUCUAGUCCUGAAGAGGCGUCUGCCCACCAGAGGACAGAAUCGCAGGGAGAUGACUGCAGUGGUGGUGAAAGCUGUGGAGCAGCAGAGGUUCGAGUGUCUGCGAUGUAAAUGUUUCCAUUACAGCAGCUGGCGAGGAAAACACAGUUGCUUACAAACUGUAAGGAAGUCAGUGGGUCUGCUGAUGUGGGCCCUGCUGGGAAACAAAGAGCAAGACAGACAGAUGGGUAACUGAUGCAGCUGCUGAGUUCUUGUUCUAUCAACACAACUAAGCAGGAAACAACGUUUCUCUAUUAAGAAUCCUACUUUAACAGUGUGAAACCCUUUAAUAGUUUCAUAGAUAGACAGAUAAAGAGAUAUAUAGAUAAAUCAAUUUUAUUGAUCCCACAGUGGGGAAAUUAAAUGCUGGAACAGCCACAAAACGACAGGGGAAUUGUGCAGGAUUGCAAGAAGAAAAUGAAAAACAUUAGAGCAUAAAAAAAUAAAAAUAAACAUAUGUACAUAUUUGUCAUAUUUCAGUGUUGGACCCAGUGGCAAAAUUCAAACCACUUCCUGAAUCAGUCACGUAGUAAGGCCAGGCAGCGAGGCUUUGCGCAUCAUCAUUUUCAGCCUUGCCCCUAAAUUAGGCGAGCCUCGGGGGACGGUGAGAGCAGGGCCCCAGUGCUGGAAAACACCGCCUCCUCUACUCGGCACACACUUUGUAGCCUUGAUACAGAACGUCACAUAACUACUUAAAACUGUCCACAGUCUCUAUGUUUGACCCCUGGAUGGUGUGAUGUGGCGUUCUCCUCUGGUAUUUAAUCACCAUCUCCUUAGUGUUACUGGUGUUUAAACAUAAGUGGUUGCACUCGCACCAGUCAACAAAGUCCUUGAUGACUGACCUGUAUUCCAGCUCGUUCCCCUCAGGACACACAGCCAACAAUGGCUGAGUUGUCUGAGAACUUCUGGAUGUGACAGCUGCUGGUGUAUUAUGUGAAAUCCGAGGUGUAGAAGGUGAAGAGAAACACCACAUCAACACAUCACCACCACGCCUCACCCUAACCCUUCACAAGUUUCACAAACAAGAGCUUUAAAGUUCACUUGACUAAAGUACAAAUAAUCUGCAUAUUAUGUUAUGUAAUGUGUAACUAUGUAAUUGUAUGUCACAUCUUCCCCUGAAAUCUGAAACCCCAAACAUAAUUCAAUUCAUCCAUUGACUGAUUAACUAUAAUUUAUGCUCUACAGGACAUACGUAAAUGUGAACAUACCACUAAUAAGACAAAAUAAAAAGCUGGUUGUUUUGAGUAGUUUCAUUGUUUUACAGAUCAGAACAAGUAUGUUCUCAUCAUGUAAGUUAAUGAGUAAAAACUGAGCCACAUCAAAUUGUAAGAAGGAAGUUACCUAGUUUAUACAGAGUCUGUCCCGAUGUCACAUUGCUCAGCUGGACGUCGCUGCUCCACGCUCCAUGAAGAACUUGUGGCUGUGAUGAGGGUUGAGCUGCGAUUCUGCUGCCGCUUCCCGCAACAUUUCUGCUUCCUCUGAUGCCUCCUGUUCUCCUGAUCACAUCUGUCACUGACAUAUGACCCAUAACAUUUUAGAAAUCAGUUUAGUGAAGCGAUAAGAUAAUACAGAGUGUGAUGUUUUGUCCUGCUGGUUCAUAAAAGUGAAUUAUAGCUCGUGGAUUGAGGGAUGUGAAACUCACCUCUGUCAUCGCUACCGAGGUCCCAGACCUGCAGAUCGGAGGUUAGCCCAUCGUUUGUCACAGCACAUCUGCAACGGCAGGAUGUCAACAAACGAGACACACAGACCGCAUCGUUUCCUUGAGUGUUAAUGAGACCUGGUCAAAAACGUGCCGGAAGAGAUGCAAAGCAAAAAGGAUGACGCUGGGAGAGGCUGUAAAAGAAUGUGUGCCCAUGAAUGGGACAGCUGAGUAAUUAUAAUAAUAAACUACUGUAAAUCAUCUUACUCAAGAACACACCCGGUGCCAGAAGUGGGGUUCAAACCACGGGACUUUCCCAAGCCGUGCUCUACUACCUGAGCUACCAGGCCAUGAAAUUACUGAGCUCAAUGUAGAUGUGACCAGAGCUGGACAAACUGACUAGAAUUUGACAGAAGUUAUAGUAAACCUGCUGCUGGUGGCACCGACUUGGGGGACAAACUCGGGUGAAUUAAGUGAAUCACCUUGUUUUACCUGGACCUUCAGACAAUUUUUACAAUUUUUGCUCACAGUGUUAAAAAGUUGUUGUUUUCAUAUGUGCCAACAUAACCGCAACAAAGAUAUAAACCAUA